RNAcentral lists this ribosomal RNA (253 nucleotides) under uncultured bacterium. RNAcentral's name for it is "partial 16S ribosomal RNA". It matches the Rfam family "Bacterial small subunit ribosomal RNA", at positions 524 to 776 of the family's 1533-position model. The record is from RNAcentral.
UACGUAGGGUCCGAGCGUUGUCCGGAAUUAUUGGGCGUAAAGAGCUCGUAGGCGGUCUGUCGCGUCGGCUGUGAAAACCCGAGGCUCAACCUCGGGCCUGCAGUCGAUACGGGCAAACUAGAGUACUGCAGGGGAGACUGGAAUUCCUGGUGUAGCGGUGAAAUGCGCAGAUAUCAGGAGGAACACCGGUGGCGAAGGCGGGUCUCUGGGCAGUAACUGACGCUGAGGAGCGAAAGCGUGGGGAGCGAACAGG